GCUUGUGUGGCGGAACUGGUAGACGCGCACGACUCAAAAUCGUGUAACUAUGUUGUGUGGGUUCGAUUCCCACCACAAGCACCA
RNAcentral lists this transfer RNA (84 nucleotides) under Bacilli bacterium. RNAcentral describes it as "tRNA-Leu". It matches the Rfam family "tRNA". From Rfam's summary of the family: Transfer RNA (tRNA) molecules are approximately 80 nucleotides in length. Their secondary structure includes four short double-helical elements and three loops (D, anti-codon, and T loops). Lineage: Bacteria; Bacillati; Bacillota; Bacilli. The record is from RNAcentral.